AUGGCGGAUGGGCCAAGCCGUGUGCUACUCCAUUCACUGGAAAGCAUGACAGAUAAUUUCUCUAAAGGCCGAUUACUUGGCAGUGGUUCGUACGGAAAAGUUUAUCUGGGGGAGCGGGAAGAUGGUCAAAAAAUUGCUGUAAAGAUUCUUCACGACAUGUCAGGACAUGACGAUGUGCAAUUUGAUAAGGAAUUUUACAAUCUUGUAAAUCUGCAACACCAGAACAUCGUGCAGUUAGUUGGUUAUUGCCAUGAAACCCGACGAGAAUACUUGCCGUACAACAAAACUAAGGUUCUUGCUGAGGUGACAAAGAGAGCGCUUUGCUUUGAGUUUGUGGAAAAUGGAAGCCUUAACAGCUAUCUCUUUGAUGAAUCUAAGGGACAUGGUUGGCGCACGCGCUACGCCAUAAUCAAGGGUAUUUGCAAUGGUUUGAAGUACCUUCACGAGGAAUUGAAGCCUCCUAUUUUUCAUUUGGAUCUAAAACCAGCCAACAUAUUGCUGGAUAAGAACAUGAUCCCGAAAAUUGCUGAUUUCGGAUUGUCCAGAUUCUUCAAGGAAGAAAAAUCUCAUAGCACUAACAGUCCUAUAGGAACACUUGGGUACUUACCACCGGAGUUUAUACAUCAUAGAAUAAUCUCAAAUAAACUGGAUAUAUUCAGCCUGGGAGUUGUAGUUAUAAAGAUAAUUGCAGGUCCUCCAGGGCACUGCAGAAGUGCUGAAAUGAGCUCUGAGCAAUUCAUUAAGAUUGUACAUGGGAAUUGGAUGAAUAGGCUACAAUCAGUGGUGUCAGGGAAUUAG
RNAcentral lists this ribosomal RNA (798 nucleotides) under Triticum aestivum (bread wheat). RNAcentral describes it as "partial small subunit ribosomal RNA". Lineage: Eukaryota; Viridiplantae; Streptophyta; Magnoliopsida; Poales; Poaceae. The record is from RNAcentral.